RNAcentral lists this ribosomal RNA (429 nucleotides) under Chloroflexota bacterium. RNAcentral describes it as "Chloroflexi bacterium partial 16S ribosomal RNA". It matches the Rfam family "Bacterial small subunit ribosomal RNA", at positions 355 to 776 of the family's 1533-position model. The record is from RNAcentral. Lineage: Bacteria; Bacillati; Chloroflexota.
UGGGGAAUAUUGCACAAUGGGCGCAAGCCUGAUGCAGCCAUGCCGCGUGUAUGAAGAAGGCCUUCGGGUUGUAAAGUACUUUCAGCGGGGAGGAAGGGAGUAAAGUUAAUACCUUUGCUCAUUGACGUUACCCGCAGAAGAAGCACCGGCUAACUCCGUGCCAGCAGCCGCGGUAAUACGGAGGGUGCAAGCGUUAAUCGGAAUUACUGGGCGUAAAGCGCACGCAGGCGGUUUGUUAAGUCAGAUGUGAAAUCCCCGGGCUCAACCUGGGAACUGCAUGUGAUAAUGGCAAGCUUGAGUCUCGUAGAGGGGGAUAGAAUUCCAGGUAUAGCGGUGAAAUGCGUAGAGAUCUGGGGGAAUACCAGUGGCGAAGGCGGCCCCCUGGACGAAGACUGACGCUCAGGUGCGAAAGCGUGGGGAGCAAACAGG